This 510-nucleotide ribosomal RNA is filed under the name uncultured Glomus. RNAcentral describes it as "SSU rRNA". It matches the Rfam family "Eukaryotic small subunit ribosomal RNA", at positions 569 to 1081 of the family's 1831-position model. The record is from RNAcentral. Lineage: Eukaryota; Fungi; Glomeromycota; Glomeromycetes; Glomerales; Glomeraceae.
AGCAGCCGCGGUAAUUCCAGCUCCAAUAGCGUAUAUUAAAGUUGUUGCAGUUAAAAAGCUCGUAGUUGAAUUUCGGGAUCAGUACGUCGGUCGUGCCUUCGGUAUGCACUGGUGUCACUGGUUCCUCCCUUCUGACGAACCGUCAUGCCAUUAAUUUGGUGUGGCGGGAAAUCAGGACUGUUACUUUGAAAAAAUUAGAGUGUUUAAAGCAGGCUCACGCUUGAAUACAUUAGCAUGGAAUAAUGAAAUAGGACGUUGAUCUUAUUUUGUUGGUUUCUAGGAUUGACGUAAUGAUUAAUAGGGAUAGUUGGGGGCAUUAGUAUUCAAUUGUCAGAGGUGAAAUUCUUGGAUUUAUUGAAGACUAACUACUGCGAAAGCAUUUGCCAAGGAUGUUUUCAUUAAUCAAGAACGAAAGUUAGGGGAUCGAAGACGAUCAGAUACCGUCGUAGUCUUAACCAUAAACUAUGCUGACUAGGGAUCGGAUGAUGUUAAUUUUUUAAUGACUCAUUC